UACGUAGGGUGCAGGCGUUAAUCGGAAUUACUGGGCGUAAAGCGUGCGCAGGCGGUUGUGCAAGACAGAUGUGAAAUCCCCGGGCUUAACCUGGGAACUGCAUUUGUGACUGCACGGCUAGAGUGUGUCAGAGGGGGGUAGAAUUCCACGUGUAGCAGUGAAAUGCGUAGAUAUGUGGAGGAAUACCGAUGGCGAAGGCAGCCCCCUGGGAUAACACUGAUGCUCAUGCACGAAAGCGUGGGGAGCAAACAGG
RNAcentral lists this ribosomal RNA (253 nucleotides) under uncultured bacterium. RNAcentral's name for it is "partial 16S ribosomal RNA". It matches the Rfam family "Bacterial small subunit ribosomal RNA", at positions 524 to 776 of the family's 1533-position model. The record is from RNAcentral.